This 118-nucleotide ribosomal RNA is filed under the name Schizosaccharomyces cryophilus OY26. The record is from RNAcentral. Lineage: Eukaryota; Fungi; Ascomycota; Schizosaccharomycetes; Schizosaccharomycetales; Schizosaccharomycetaceae.
AUCUACGGCCGCACCUAGGCGAAAACACCAGUUCCCGUCCGAUCACUGCAGUUAAGUGAAAACGUUUGAGGGUCCCGUAGGUGGUUGGAGACAACAUGGGAAUCCGGUGCUGUAGGCU